RNAcentral lists this ribosomal RNA (434 nucleotides) under uncultured bacterium. RNAcentral describes it as "bacterial SSU rRNA". It matches the Rfam family "Bacterial small subunit ribosomal RNA", at positions 27 to 507 of the family's 1533-position model. The record is from RNAcentral.
GAACGAACGCUGGCGGCAUGCCUAACACAUGCAAGUCGAACGAGACCUUCGGGUCUAGUGGCGCACGGGUGCGUAACGCGUGGGAAUCUGCCCUUUGCUUCGGAAUAACAGUUAGAAAUGACUGCUAAUACCGGAUGAUGUCUUCGGACCAAAGAUUUAUCGGCAAAGGAUGAGCCCGCGUAGGAUUAGGUAGUUGGUGGGGUAAAGGCCUACCAAGCCGACGAUCCUUAGCUGGUCUGAGAGGAUGAUCAGCCACACUGGGACUGUGACACGGCCCAGACUCCUACGUGAGGCAGCAGUGGGGAAUAUUGGACAAUGGGCGCAAGCCUGAUCCAGCAAUGCCGCGUGAGUGAUGAAGGCCUUCGGGUCGUAAAGCUCUUUUACCAGGGAUGAUAAUGACAGUACCUGGAGAAUAAGCUCCGGCUAACUCCGUG